This 254-nucleotide ribosomal RNA is filed under the name uncultured bacterium. RNAcentral describes it as "partial 16S ribosomal RNA". It matches the Rfam family "Bacterial small subunit ribosomal RNA", at positions 524 to 776 of the family's 1533-position model. The record is from RNAcentral.
UACGUAGGGUGCAAGCGUUAAUCGGAAUUACUGGGCGUAAAGCGUGCGCAGGCGGUGAUGUAAGACAGGUGUGAAAUCCCCGGGCUUAACCUGGGAACUGCAUUUGUGACUGCACGGCUAGAGUGUGUCAGAGGGGGGUAGAAUUCCACGUGUAGCAGUGAAAUGCGUAGAGAUGUGGAGGAAUACCGAUGGCGAAGGCAGCCCCCCUGGGAUAACACUGACGCUCAUGCACGAAAGCGUGGGGAGCAAACAGG